GUGCGUAAUAGCUCACUAGUCGAGUGACACUGCGCCGAAAAUGUACCGGGGCUAAACAUAUUACCGAAGCUGUGGAUUGUCCUUUGGACAAUGGUAGGAGAGCGUUCUAAGGGCGUCGAAGCAUGAUCGCAAGGACAUGUGGAGCGCUUAGAAGUGAGAAUGCCGGUGUGAGUAGCGAAAGACGGGUGAGAAUCCCGUCCACCGAUUGACUAAGGUUUCCAGAGGAAGGCUCGUCCGCUCUGGGUUAGUCGGGUCCUAAGCUGAGGCCGACAGGCGUAGGCGAUGGAUAACAGGUUGAUAUUCCUGUACCACCUAGUAU
RNAcentral lists this ribosomal RNA (319 nucleotides) under Nostoc sp. 2RC. RNAcentral describes it as "partial 23S ribosomal RNA". It matches the Rfam family "Bacterial large subunit ribosomal RNA", at positions 1130 to 1454 of the family's 2925-position model. The record is from RNAcentral. Lineage: Bacteria; Bacillati; Cyanobacteriota; Cyanophyceae; Nostocales; Nostocaceae.